Molecule: ribosomal RNA, 241 nt
Filed under: uncultured bacterium
Lineage: Bacteria
Description: partial 16S ribosomal RNA
Rfam family: Bacterial small subunit ribosomal RNA
Source: RNAcentral
GAUCAUGGCUCAGGACGAACGCUGGCGGCGUGCCUAACACAUGCAAGUCGAACGGAGUUAAGCUCUUCGGAACUUGACUUAGUGGCGAACGGGUGAGUAACGCGUGAGGAACCUGCCUUUCAGUGGGGGACAACAGUUGGAAACGACUGCUAAUACCGCAUGACACUUUUGGGAGACAUCUCCUGGAAGUCAAAGCUUUAUGUGCUGAAAGAUGGCCUCGCGUCUGAUUAGCUGGUUGGUG